This 112-nucleotide non-coding RNA is filed under the name Mus spicilegus (steppe mouse). Lineage: Eukaryota; Metazoa; Chordata; Mammalia; Rodentia; Muridae. The record is from RNAcentral.
GGCUGGUACGAAGGUAUUGAGUUAUCUCAAUUGAUUGUCCACAGUCAGCUACAGAUUGAACUCUUGUUCUGUACUUUCCCCACUUCUCACUAAUGCACAUGACUAGAGAUAG